GAUGAACGCUGGCGGCGUGCUUAACACAUGCAAGUCGAACGAUGAAGCCCAGCUUGCUGGGUGGAUUAGUGGCGAACGGGUGAGUAACACGUGAUUAACCUGCCCUUUACCCUGGGAUAAGCCUUGGAAACUGUGUCUAAUACCGGAUAGGAACGUCCACCGCAUGGUGGGUGUUGGAAAGAUUUAUCGGUCAUGGAUGGACUCGCGGCCUAUCAGCUUGUUGGUGAGGUAAUGGCUCACCAAGGCGACGACGGGUAGCCGGCCUGAGAGGGUGACCGGCCAAACUGGGACUGAGACACGGCCCAGACUCCUACGGGAGGCAGCAGUGGGGAAUAUUGCACAAUGGGCGAAAGCCUGAUGCAGCGAAGCCGCGUGAGGGAUGACGGCCUUCGGGUUGUAAACCUCUUUCAGUAGGGAAGAAGCGAAAGUGACGGUACCUGCAGAAGAAGCACCGGCUAACUACGUG
This 466-nucleotide ribosomal RNA is filed under the name uncultured bacterium. RNAcentral's name for it is "partial 16S ribosomal RNA". It matches the Rfam family "Bacterial small subunit ribosomal RNA", at positions 28 to 507 of the family's 1533-position model. The record is from RNAcentral.